This is an RNA transcript of Athene cunicularia (burrowing owl), 2546 nucleotides long. It is a transcript of the gene named phospholamban, with no coding region annotated. Lineage: Eukaryota; Metazoa; Chordata; Aves; Strigiformes; Strigidae. The record is from RefSeq and is a predicted model, not a curated record. The transcript has 3 exons.
UGGUCUCCCUGGCACACAGUUCCCUUCACGAGAGGAAAGAUGUUGCCCAUGUUUAAUGUAUUACUGCUGUGAACAAGUUUAGAGGAGCAACUGCCUGUGUCAGAAGGCAGAAAUGGGACCAAUCACAACUUGUGAGCUGCUGAAUGACGCCGGCAGUCCUGCCUCUGAAACUUUUGAGGGGAAAAAAUAACAACCUCCUUCAAUUGUUCCCACAACUUGGUCACAGUCUCGGACAAGUUGCCAGAGAUCUACAAACACUUCCCACAGCCCGGAGCAGGCUCCUCUGUGCUUCACUAACAGUCACACCAGAGGUGGGUGACAGCGUCAUGGAGGAUUAACAAGCAAGCUCCACAAAGGCUGUCUAAAACAAAAAGAAGAUAAUAGGCACUUUGCACUGUUCCUGACAACUUCUCUUCUUUCCUACACUCCUAAAACCUCUGAUUUGUGCCCUCUGCUUUCUUGUUGCCAUGGAGAAGGUCCAAUACAUAACCCGCUCUGCUCUGAGGAGAGCCUCAACUAUUGAGGUCAACCCACAAGCUCGCCAAAGGCUCCAAGAGCUUUUUGUGAAUUUCUGCCUGAUUUUAAUUUGCCUCUUGCUGAUCUGUAUCAUUGUGAUGCUCCUCUGAAGUUCCAGCACUUCUCUGCACUGUCCUCUAGGAAAGUCACCCCAGAGGGAAGAGAGACCUACACCUGCAACUCCCAAUGCAAGGAUCCUCUUGUGAGAGGGGCUAGCACUUGGACUAGAGCUGUAUGCCAACCAUCGCACUAUUCUCUUACUACCUACUACCUACUACAUGUAUUAAAAACACACCUCUGUGCAGAACAGUGUUUAGAGCCUGUUGUUACAAAGCUGUACAUGACCUAGUUUGUCUGUCUCAAGAGAUGUCUUUUCUGAAGGGGGUAAAGUACUGGCUCUUCAUGGAGUUGGUAAGUUCCUCAAUGUUUUAGCUAGAUAACAGAAAGAGUAAAUUCACUUUUGGGGGGGCUGAUUGUUCUUAGGUUUCUCUGAAAAUCCUUAAGCCCUUGUAGGGGUUUCAAAUCUGGCCUUCAUCUGCCCAGGACAAGCUAGUUACAGGCACAUGGCCCUCAAUGCAUUCUAGGAAAAUUUCUGCCCUGCUUACCUCAAGGUGAUGCAUCUUUGCUUUAUUAAAGGUAUUCAAAUUGGUUUAGUUUCUUUUAAGGGAAUGUGAGAAUAAACCAAAAAUCUCUCCUAACCCAGAAAUAAAAACUAUUUCAUAUGCUUUUCUCCCUAUUUAAGGGAUCUUUAUUACAUAAACAUACAUGUGUAUGUGCAUAUAUAUACACACACACACACACAACUUGGAUCAAAAAAAAAAAAUUAAAACCCAACUUCAUUUACAGUGUUUUUCACCAGAAACAUCCUUACAGAACAAAGUGACAUCUGGAAAGUUUUUUUACUAUGUUUUGCAGGAAAAAAAAAAAAAAUAAUAAAAAAAAAUCACACUACCAUACUGGUAUCAAAGAUUUAAUUUUCUAUAGUCAUUUAACUGACAUGACAAUAGGCACAAUUCAGAAAUAAUUCUCAGAGUUCUUAAUAUUUGGCUUCAGACAACUUUAUUAUGGCCUACUGUAAUUUAUGUAAUAAAUUCUGUAGUUGCAAACUAUAGAAAACUUGGUACUUGCCAAUGUCACAGAGGGUGGCUUAUAUCUGAUGUGGUAAAGAGAAAGGUGUAGAUCACCCUUACUGCCAUGAAUGAAGUGCAUCAUACAAAUACAAGUAACACCACCACCUUCAACUGCAAAUGCCUGUUAGAGAACAAGCAAGUAUUUUCCUACUAUAAAUGACAGAUUCAAAAAUAAGUUUAAAAAAUUACACACAAGAAGGAAAGCAUUGCAGGAAUUAUUUUUAGCCAGUAAACCACAUCUAUGCAUGUAACAGUUUCUACUCCAGCAGUUGUCAGUAACAAGAUGGAGCAGUAGCCUUCCUACGUGUUGCUGGUAUUAAGCUAAAUUCCUAGAAACUUUAUACAGUUUUCCAAUUUAAUGAAAGGUCAAGAAUCAACAGAUAGAGGUCAAACAGACAUCCUUUUUUAAACAGGCAUCUUUCUAUACCACUCUAUGUAAGCAAUCCUGUUGAUGAAUACAGAAAGUCAAAACGAGUUUAUCUUAAUCUUGUAUUCUGCCUUUAAAACUUAGUAUUCCAUGAGUAGAGGUUGACAAUGAACAGCUGAACAGGAAGGGAAGACACCUUUGAAAAAAACCUCUGCAUUCAAUGGAAUGCAAGCAAGUCCAGCGGUGAUGUAUUUCUUAUCUGGCAGACAGAUAUGCUGAGACCAGACCUCUGAAAUAAGGUUAAUCACUAAUUAGUUAGCUACUGUAUGAGGAUUAGGGCAAACACUGAUGAGAUUGGCAACACACUCCCCCACUUGCAAGUCAGUAUAUUAAUAUUACUGAUUUGAACUGUCAACAUAAAUCUCAAUUUCCAUUUCAUGCAUUCUGACCACUCUCACAAAUGCAUGGGAUUUUAGUAAGCACACUUUCCCUAUUAAUCCUUCUUCUUAAGAAAAGCCAAAACCACAGUGCAU